AGAGGUCAUGUGAGAAAGAUAGUCUUUUAUGCUAUUCUAUUUUUGUAUAGGUGCUUCACUUUAAGAAGUGCCAUAUACUUUUGUCAAGAAAAGGUAAAUAAACUUUCUAAAGGUAGUAUUUAAAAUAAUUAUUGUGAAUGUUUGGAUGUUUGUAUAGAAACUGUUUGACAAAAUAUUAACUUGAUCUGGUAGUAUAUUAUAUUAACUUGAUAAAUGUUAAGUUAGUUGAAAAAAAUUCUAAUCUCCCACUAUGCAAUUUAUAAUAUGUUUUCCCCUUCUAUUAUGCUCUUCUCGGAAAGAGUUUUACUUGGCUUUAAAAAAUGCUCAUGAUUAAAUAUACUCCUGUUUUAUGUAUGGCUGAUUUGUUUGAAUCAUAAAUUGAAAGAUUUUAUCGCAGUGUGCUAUGUAUAGCUUAAAUUUGGCAACAUUGUUAUACAAAAUAUAUUUGUACAGAGAGCAUGUUUAUGAAACUUAAUAAGCAUUUUUUGGCUUGUUGUGAAUUCUAUCAAUUAUGACUAGAUAGAUGUCAGAUGAAAUAAUUGAGAUAUUAUUAUUGCUGUUAAAAGUAUAAAUCUCAUUUCGUCUUUAAUAGAAUUGCAAAAAGUUUACUCUAGCAUAUGAUAACUUCUAUAAUUAUUUUCGACUAUAAUUUUCUGUGGCUAUAUUAGAAUGGUUCUGGCUUGCUUAUCUAGUCACCGGAAAUAUAACAAAGUUUAUACCCUACUGUUAUUCUUGUUUCAGAUGAUGUGUACAUAGUCAUGCAAUGCCAUGAAGUUUAAGUACUUGACAUUGCCUAACAAAUUAUCAAGAAAUUUGAGAUAGGACUUAUUUAUAGAAAUUCAAAUGAGCCUUGGUAAAUGUAAUUUUUUACCUGAAAUUUUAAGUGUUAAUAUUUGAUAAGCUAUUUGAGACUGACUUUUUUUUUUUUUUGCUGAAGUUUUAUUAUUAACCUCACUUCAAUUUCUAAUUCUUGAGACCUUGAUAUUAUUAACAUUAUGCUUCUUUAUACAUAAUGAUUAAUUGGAUGCAAAUACACUACUACAUUAUGCUUCUAAUUCUUGAGAAUAAUGUAUUUGACUCAACCCAAGGCUGAGAAGAAAGAGUAAGAUGAGCAUUUGGUUUUUCUCUUCUUUGCAUUAUUAUUUAAUGAUUUAAUUCAGAUUUGACUCACUUUCAUUAUAUUAUAACAUUGUAAAUGUGUGUAUGUGCUGAGACAGACUUCAAAAAAACUAUUUUGCAACAGUUUGCAAGAGCUAAAACUCUACUUGGAUAUUUAAGAGAACCAAGACAAUUAUAUAAGAGAACCAAGGCAACACGAAAUUCUUCUUCAAGUUGUUGGGUAUUAUUUUCUUUAUUGCUUGUAAGAAUUAUGUACAGUGAGGAUUUGAUGUAUUAUUUACAUCGAGAAUAAUGAAUUUUUAUUGAGAAUUAUAAUGAAUUUUCAUUAAGACU
This is a long non-coding RNA of Humulus lupulus (European hop), 1452 nucleotides long. RefSeq lists it as uncharacterized. The transcript is spliced from 2 exons. The record is from RefSeq and is a predicted model, not a curated record. Lineage: Eukaryota; Viridiplantae; Streptophyta; Magnoliopsida; Rosales; Cannabaceae.